UACAGAGGUCUCAAGCGUUGUUCGGAUUCAUUGGGCGUAAAGGGUGCGUAGGUGGGCAGGUAAGUCAGUGGUGAAAUCUCCGGGCUUAACUCGGAAACUGCCAUUGAUACUAUCUUUCUUGAAUACCGUGGAGGUCAGCGGAAUAUGUCAUGUAGCGGUGAAAUGCUUAGAUAUGACAUAGAACACCAAUUGCGAAGGCAGCUUGCUACACUGUUAUUGACACUGAGGCACGAAAGCGUGGGGAUCAAACAGG
RNAcentral lists this ribosomal RNA (253 nucleotides) under uncultured bacterium. RNAcentral describes it as "partial 16S ribosomal RNA". It matches the Rfam family "Bacterial small subunit ribosomal RNA", at positions 524 to 776 of the family's 1533-position model. The record is from RNAcentral.